AAGGUUUUGUGCCCCCCUCCUUUCUGUUCAUUUCUAUCACAGUUUCUCCAGUUGCAAUGUAUUUGUAUUCCUUUGAGAUGAACCAGUGUCACUCCGGAGCUCUCAGUGUGCUGCGUGUGGACUGAAAGACAUCAACAGCCCACAUGUGGGAAGGCCAGCUUCUCUUCCCUUCUUGCCAGCAUGCCUCACUCCUCCAUUUAGUCACUGGACUUGCAGGUGGGACAGAAUUUGGAAACAAGACCUUAUAUUCAAAGUUUGCUGUAACAGGAGACGCAGUGCAUCUGUGGAUCCCUGCACUUGUAUGUGCCUGCCAGGUGUGUUGAGUGAAAUCAACUCAUAUUAACUGUAUGUGUCAACUACUUCUGAAGAAAGACUGUUAAAAAGAAGGAGUUGGAUUGAAAAGUAGAACAGCUGAAAUUCAACUCAUUGUCAUGGCAAUCAAUUUUUGCUCAGCUUCCUGUGUUCUCUGUGCUCUGAAAGAAGCCGUGUCUGCAAGGUGUGACUCCGUUUUCUCAUCUGAGAGAUGAAGACACUAAUCUUUCUGCUCUCCCAGGUGAAGUUGGAUGCUAACCUCAUUGGAUUCUAUGAAAGCCAUAGGUAAUUUGGAGAUGAGAGCAACAGAAAGCUCUAUAAAUAAGAUAAAAUAAACUUCUUGAAGGAAGCAUUGAUUUUA
Cyanistes caeruleus (blue tit) is the source of this 673-nucleotide long non-coding RNA. RefSeq lists it as uncharacterized. NCBI's taxonomy places the organism in Eukaryota, Metazoa, Chordata, Aves, Passeriformes, Paridae. The record is from RefSeq and is a predicted model, not a curated record.